CAAGAAUCAUCCAUGAAUUGCUUUCAGUGCCUCACUUUGAACAGUUGCUGCAAGACCCGUUUGCCAACUAUGUCAUUCAAUCUGCACUUGAAGUUAGCAAGGAACAAUACUGGGCUCCUCCAAACUUCAGACGAUCAUUGUCAGUGAAAUUGAAGUUUUUGGCUGCUAGUAGGAAAUUAAUUAAGGUGAUGUUUAUGUUCGUCCAUCUGCAAAAAUACAUCCAACUGCUAAGAUUGGCCCUAAUGUUUCAAUCUCAGCAAAUGUUCGUAUAGCAGCAGGUGUAAGGCUUAUAAGUUGCAUCAUCUUAGAUGAUGUUUAAAUAAAGGAAAAUGCAGUAGUUAUGCAUGCUAUUGUUGGAAGGAAAUCAUCUAUUGGGAAAUGGUCGCGUGCCCAAGAGACUACAAUGCCAAGCUUGGAAUCACCAUCCUUGGAGAAGCUGUGACAGUUGAAGAUGAAGUCGUGGUGACUAACAGCAUCGUGCUCCCAAACAAGACCCUUAAUGUUAGUGUACAGGAGGAUAUCAUUCUGUGAGGACAAGGAACCAAGAUCCGGCUGGAAUUCAAUGCAGUGUUUAGUUGUGAUUCUUCAAUUUUUUUUUUAAUGUCAGAGCACAUUUGCAGUUUUGCCUUUGUGUAAUGGAACAACUUGCACAAGCCAAUCUUCAAACACACACUUCAAAAUAACAAACCUAACCUAGUUACUCUUACAACCAAGCCCAAAAUGCUACACAUUGAGUAAAUUCCGUGUAGCAAGAAGAGCCACUCGAAAUCGAUUUCCUCCCUUUUGUUGAAGUUGAUUUCAUCUGUUUUUUGCAGCAACAAGAAGGUGACUUCAGCCCAGCCCUUGUUUUUUUUUUGCCCCGGUUUUUUUGAGGCCUCUUUUAUUCAUUCAAUAGUAAACAAUAGCAAAGAGAGUCCUAGAAUCCUAGGUCCCUAUCAUGCAUUGAUCCACCUAGUAAUAGUCUAACAGAGAGCUUUCAUU
Molecule: non-coding RNA, 981 nt
Organism: Camellia sinensis
Lineage: Eukaryota; Viridiplantae; Streptophyta; Magnoliopsida; Ericales; Theaceae
Source: RefSeq, a predicted model, not a curated record